RNAcentral lists this long non-coding RNA (378 nucleotides) under Pan troglodytes (chimpanzee). RNAcentral's name for it is "long non-coding RNA NONPTRT011848". Lineage: Eukaryota; Metazoa; Chordata; Mammalia; Primates; Hominidae. The record is from RNAcentral.
AAAGUUACAUAAGAUAUUAAUUUGCAGUUCUAAGCUCCAAAGCUGUCUCUUCAUCAUAGAUCUCUUCUCUUCAUACUGUGUUCACUCUCUGAAAUUUUUCAAUCUUCCAGGCAUUGUGCUUUCUGAUUCUAGUGUCAACUUUAAUAUUAAUUAUGCUGCCAAUUAUUAAGAUACAAAUGUAACUGAAUGGAAUGAUGUAAGAGAUGUCUUUGCAGGGAGUGGUUCUGCCAUCCCCUGUUGUUUCCAUUGAUAACCUAGAAUUUACCUUCUACCCCUCUUUUUCCACACGUACCAUUUUCCCCUCACCUAUUGAUCUUACCUCCGAAAUCUCCAUUUCUCUACUUCUCUUUACAUCCAGCACCAGGAUUCUAGCCAAAU